GGGCGGCAGUAAUAGCGGAUUUCGUAACAUGAAAGCUCCUCUUUUUGAUCACUGACGACAACAGACGAGACUGACUUACGCGCUGAGUGAAAACGGCAACUCAAGACAACGAUGUGCGGAAGCCGCGUAGGAUGACAACUGGAACUCAAACUGUUUAAAUCUUUCUAUGCUGGA
This is a long non-coding RNA of Lampris incognitus (smalleye Pacific opah), 174 nucleotides long. RefSeq lists it as uncharacterized. NCBI's taxonomy places the organism in Eukaryota, Metazoa, Chordata, Actinopteri, Lampriformes, Lampridae. The record is from RefSeq and is a predicted model, not a curated record. The transcript is spliced from 3 exons.